UGUUAUGUAUGCAAAUAUAUAAUAAAUAUACAAUAUGUAAUAAUACACACGCAUGUAAGUUCGCAUAAAUAAAUAUUACGUAUGUCACAAUACAUAAUAAUACAUAAACUCGUCUAUAUAAGUCGAGAUAAGUUUUUUGGGCAGAAAAAAAAAUAUAUAUAUAUUAUUAUGUAUUAUAUACCGCCUAUCCACAUAUGUCAGUUUGAAGGGGUAAAACGAAAAACGUAGUGAAUGACAAAUUUUUACAUUAUUAUAGCCGAGUAUAGAUUUUGGAAAUAACAUGGCGAACAUAUAAAUAAUAUUAAUAAUAUAAUAUAAUAUAAUAUUGUGUACAGACGUCAUUUUAUAUUAUUAUUAUUAUUAUUUUUAUUUUUUUUAAUAUUUUUUUUUAAAUUUUUUUUGUUGAAAAACGGCAUACGAAAGAGAAAAAAACAAUUUUUUUUUUGUUGUAAGUAUAUAUUCUUAAAUUUUUUUUUUAGUUUUUUAUUUUUUAGUAAACUUUUUAAAAAAAUUUUUACAAGAUUAAAAUCUACUUGCGAUUUGUUUUACAGCGUAAAAAUAAAAACGGAUUGUCGAAAAAGUAACAACAACGAAUAUAAUAUAAUAUUAUAAUGUAUAUAUAUAUAUAUAUAUAUAUAUAUAAACAUAAAUAUACAUAUAUAUAUAUAUAUAUAAUAAUAAUAUAUAAUAUUAUAGUAAUAAUAUAAUGUAAUAAUAUCGCGACGGACAAAAAAAUUCGAUGGCCGAAUAUAUUAUUAAUAUUAAAAUAUUAUCUAGAAAAAAUGAAAAAAAAAAACAUUAAAAAAAAACGAAUUUCUUUCUAAAAGGACGUCCUAAAAUAUAAUAUUAAUAAUAACAUUAUAUUUUUAAGUAAUAAUAAUAAUAAUAUAAUAAUAUUGUAUAAUGAAUCACAUUGGAAAAAAAAAAAAAAAGAAAUUAUAAUAAUAAUUUUAUUAUUAUAUUAUAGUAAUAAUUAUAUACCCGUUCCACCUCCGUUUUUUAUACAUAUUUUUUUUUUUUUUUUUUUUUUUUUUUUUGUAAUUAUUAUUUCAUAAUAUAUAAUUUUAACGAUGACAACGCUAAACAAUAAUAUUAUUUAAUUUUUAUAAUAUACUUAAGGUUAAAAAUCGUACAGGUGUUUUAUUAUAAUAAUAUCGUCGGUAAUAAUUUUUAGUAUUCUUUUCUUUUUUUUUCAUUUAAAUUUUUUUAACAAAAAAAAAAUUUAUUAAAUAAAUAAAAAAAAUAAAAGAAAUUACAACCGGGAAAAUCUUCGGUCUUAUUAAUAUUAUAAUAUAUAGCUUUAUAAUAUAUAAUAAUAUUAUAUUAUAGUAUUAAAUAUAAGGCAACUUUGAUUACAAAUAUUUUUUUUCUUUUUUAAAUUUACAUACAAAUAUCGUUAAAAUACUAUUUAAUAUUACAUUACAUUAAUACAGUAUAAGUAAUGUCGAACCGUACAAUAAUAAUAACAGUAUUACAUCGGAUGUUUUAUGCCUAAUUUAUUUUUACUUUUUAAGUAUUGUACCUAUUUUUAAUAACACAUACAAUAUUAUAAUUUUCCAAAAACGGUGGUGUUUUUUUUUUUCAUUAGAAGCUCUGAAAUUUUAUUAAUCGAAUUAUUAUUAUUAUUAAUUAUUUUUUUUUUUUUUUUAUUGCAUUGUUUUACGCACAGCGUGUCAGCAAACGUUGAUUCAUAACGUUAUCCGCAUGACUGAUAAAUAACAGAUGGAUAAUAUACAGAGAAAGACCACGGGGAGCCAGGUAGAUAAAUAUAGGCAGAGAGAGCGAGAGAGAUGAGAGAGUGAUAAAGAUGCGUUAGAAAUAGAGAGUGAGAGAGAGAAAGGGGUAGAGUAUGAGAGUGAGUGAGAGAGUGAGUGAGAGAUAAAGAUAGGGACGGAAAGAAACGGAGAAAGAAAGAGAGAGAAAGAGUGAGAGGGAGUGAUAGAAGAUCGUAUCUUGUGGCCCCCGCGGGGAAAACGGAAUCUGGUUGAUUUCGAUUUUCCGGAAAAUACGCGUAGACUUGCGAGAGUCAGACCGGAAAAUAAAAGUCUACGAACAAUAAUACAUCGGACGAAAUUAUUAAUAUAAAAACCAAACAAAAUAAAAAAUGCUGCACAUCGGUACCGGCCCUUUUUUUCCCAAAGAGACCGGGGUGUUUUUUUUUUUAAUACCGACGGUGUGAAUCUAUAAGACGAAUAUAAUGUUUUAAGACCGUGACUACUGUAGUAUCGCGCCCGGGAAAUAAUAACAAAAAAAAAAAAUGCAAUUAUACCUGACGAAAACUCGUAUUUUCGCAUAACGUGCGAUGCGCGUGCGACGGGAACCGACGUCAAGUCGAUUGGAAUCGGCGAUUUUCUUUCAUCUUGGUCUUACGCGCGUGGAACAUUUAGACAUUUAGACGUGUUCCGUCUCCAAAGUGCCCAUCGGUCUAAUAAAGCGACAAGAAUACUGAAAACAGAUUUGGGAUUUAUCAUCGAGUAUACUUGAAAUCGAAUUUUCAAUUUUUUUUUAUAUAUUUCUCCAAAAAAAUAAAAUGCUCUAUUUUUUUUUAAUAACUAUUUUUUUUUUUUUUAAUACUGUUUCUUUUUAGGAUCUAUAGGGAUAAAAUCAAAAGAGCGGGAGUGUCGUUAACAAAUAGACGAAUUCAAAUCCGUUUUCAGAAUUUGUUCUACUGGCUUUACUAGUCCAAUCGGUACGGUGGACACAGAACACGUCUAAAUUCCUAUACGUUGCUCGCGAGUAAGACAGAGACAGAAAAUCGCCUCUUCCAAUAUCCUUAAUGUCUUCGGGCGUUGCGUUGUUCGGAGAAGAAAAUCCGCAACUAAACGAUCCAGGGAAAUCGGACGUCAUCGGAUGGAGGGGGACAUUUUUUUUUUUUUUCAUUAUUUAUUCUUAUACAUUACGCAGUGAAGAUAUACCGUUAUAAAAUUAAAUUAUUGUUUUAUAAACUAUGUAGGUUUUGGUUUCUUUUUAUCACAGAUUUUUUUUUUUUUUUGUUUGUUUCCCCGCCCACCCCUGUACACCAGUGCGAUACACACUAUUAGCUCGACUUGUAUUUAUAUAACUAUUGGAUUCUUUUUGUGUUUCCUUAAGCGUUAAAAGACAGUAAUAACGUACAAUAAUGUAAUAUCAUAACGCGGGAGGUAAGAACUUAUACUUAUACGCGGUAAGAACGGAGAUAGAGUGAUAGUGAGAAAAAAUCGCCGGUAUACGAUAAAAAAAAAAGAAAAAAAAACCCGAAAAAAACGACACGUAGAUAAUGGUACGUUACGAAAUUAGCCGACAGUAACCACGCGAGAUAUCCUAAAACGAUUUCCGUAACCUAACGUCAAUAUCAAUAAUAUCAAUAAUAUCAAUAAUAAUAAUAAUAAUAAUAAUAAUAAUAAUAAUAAUAAUAAUAAUAAUAAUAAUAAUAAUAAGAUACCGCGGUACUUGGCGAGAUAAUAAUAAAUGUAUAUAGUAAUAAUAAUAAUAUUAUAUAGGUAAGUAACAAUCGAAAUAAUGACGUACGUGUAUUGGCAGUUUGAAAACAAUAUAAUAAUAAUAAUAAUAAUAAUAAUAAUAAUAAUAAUAAUAUAAUAUAGUCGCGAUAAUAAUUUAUUAUCGUAAUAAUAAUAAUAAACCAUACAAUAAUAUUACGGUCGGCGGUAAGACGACGAAAAACACACCGAAAAAAAAACAGAAAUGGAUAUUAUUUUUAAUUUUAUUUUUAAUUAUUUUUUUCUUUUUUUUUUUUAUCGAUAAUAAUCAGUAUAAUAUAACCGCGGCGGCGAUACUAUACCUAAUUAUAUUUCGUGGUCCCGUGUAAAACAAAAUUGUAUUUUUCAUUACUUAUACUAGCGAAAAUCAAUAAUUAAUAAUAUAAUAUAUUAUCCUAAUACACUUUACAAUUUAUACUUAUACAAUAUACGAGUUUGUAUGCUCAAUUUAUUAUCAUUAUUAUUAUUAUAAUAUAAUAUAUAAUAUGUAUAAGAUGUAGUAUAUUAUUAUUAUUAUUAUACGUAGAUAUUUGUAUACUAAAACGUGAGAAGACGACAUUUGUUUCUAUUCUUUUUUUUUCUUUUUGUUUUCGGUGUUGGAAUUUUUUUUUAUUUAUACGCUUUUCUUUUUUUUUCUCAACAACAAUAAUAUAUGUGUACAAACGUCCGAUGACAGCGAGUCGCGGGCAACGUAUUUGUUAUUUUCGCGAAUACCGAGAGAGCGAUAGAUAUAGUUAUACAUAGAUAGCGAGACACAAAGAGAGAUAGAGACACGUGUAAAAAUAAAUACAAACAAGAGAUACGAGAGAUAUGAGAGAAAGAGAGAGAAGGAGAGUGAGAGAGUGAGUAAGAGAGACAGAAAGAGCGAAAAAAAGGUACCGGAACACGAAAUAAUGUGUUUGAACAACGGACACUUUUUUCAGUGUUUAAAAACUAACAAAAACCCGUUGUUGUAAUUCGCCUUAAAAAAAAAACAAAAUUCUAUAUUACAGAUUAACGGACGCGCGUGACGACGGAGUAGUAAGAGCGAUACGGGGGAGGGGAAAACCUAAUCAUAACCGUUAAAAAAAAAAAAAAGAGAGAAAAAACUUGUGAAUAAAUCGAGAAUCAAUAUGAUUUAUAUUAAUAUUACUAACAACGAUGAUUUGCGUGGUUUAUAAAACCAACAUUUCCGAAACCGUUUUCGACAUCGUGUGAUUACUGAUCGUUGUCAGUAUUAUUGUUUGUUAGCGAUCGGCGAGUUUUGGCGUUAACGGUUGACGAGACGACGGCGAUACGACAAUUUAUUAUCGUAACGGAAUAACGGCGACGGCGGCGACGGGCGAACGGGAGAGAAACACUAAGGGGCAGGGGUGGGUGGGGGUUUGGNGGGUUUGGGGGGGGGGGG
This is a non-coding RNA of Cinara cedri, 4863 nucleotides long. The record is from the annotation of a GenBank genome assembly. NCBI's taxonomy places the organism in Eukaryota, Metazoa, Arthropoda, Insecta, Hemiptera, Aphididae.